UACGGGGGGAGCAAGCGUUGUUCGGAUUUACUGGGCGUAAAGGGCGCGUAGGCGGCCACCGCAAGUCGACUGUGAAAUCUCCGGGCUUAACCCGGAAAGGUCAGCCGAUACUGCGGGGCUAGAGUGCAGAAGGGGCAACUGGAAUUCUCGGUGUAGCGGUGAAAUGCGUAGAUAUCGGGAGGAACACCAAUGGCGAAGGCAGCUCGCUGGGACGUUACUGACGCUGAGACGCGAAAGCGUGGGGAGCAAACAGG
RNAcentral lists this ribosomal RNA (254 nucleotides) under uncultured bacterium. Its description in RNAcentral is "partial 16S ribosomal RNA". It matches the Rfam family "Bacterial small subunit ribosomal RNA", at positions 524 to 776 of the family's 1533-position model. The record is from RNAcentral.